This 265-nucleotide unclassified non-coding RNA is filed under the name Hevea brasiliensis (rubber tree). Lineage: Eukaryota; Viridiplantae; Streptophyta; Magnoliopsida; Malpighiales; Euphorbiaceae. The record is from RNAcentral.
GUACACUUGUGCAAGCUAAGAGCGGAUCAUCGCUUUGGGUUGGGUCGGUGGGUGGAUGAAAUUUGAAUAGCUUAACUGCUUAGGCUUUGUUUGAUGGAGUGGAUUAGUUUAGAGCAGCUUUGAAACUAAAAUCAAGUGAAAAUGAAUACUGAACCACUAAUUUUUCUUGUGAAGGCCUCCACCUCCUUUUUGAAAUAUCAUUGCUAUGAUGAAUCCUUUAUUGCCUGGCAUAGGCGUGGCGGUGAUCUUUAUAGUUGGAGUUAAG